This 439-nucleotide ribosomal RNA is filed under the name uncultured bacterium. RNAcentral describes it as "partial 16S ribosomal RNA". It matches the Rfam family "Bacterial small subunit ribosomal RNA", at positions 338 to 794 of the family's 1533-position model. The record is from RNAcentral.
CCUACGGGGGGCUGCAGUGGGGGAUAUUGCACAAUGGGGGAAACCCUGAUGCAGCGACGCCGCGUGUGGGAAGACGGUCCUCUGGAUUGUAAACCACUGUCCCCAGGGACGAAGAUGACGGUACCUGGGGAGGAAGCUCCGGCUAACUACGUGCCAGCAGCCGCGGUAAUACGUAGGGAGCGAGCGUUGUCCGGAAUUACUGGGGGAAAAGGGAGCGUAGGCGGGAAUGAGAGUUGGGUGUCAAAUCUACCGGCUCAACCGGUAGCCGCACUCAAAACUGCAGUUCUGGAGUGAAGUAGAGGCAGGCGGAAUUCCUAGUGUAGCGGUGAAAGGCGUAGAUAUUAGGAGGAACACAGGUGGCGAAGGCGGCCUGCUGGGCUUUUACUGACGCUGAGGCUCGAAAGUGUGGGGAGCAAACAGGAUUAGAUACCCUAGUAGU